CAGGGCUAUAAUGCCUGCAUAACGCAUUCCAUACAAAUCCCCGUCCUGCUCUUACCUACUUCGGUGAAACCUACCGCCAUUAACUGGCUAAAAUGGUUGGUCUGUAUUCUCAACUACUUGUUCAGCCCUUUGUUCAGCUCUGAAACUAGAAGAUUAUUCUUGGGUACCUAUGACACUGAUGAGGAAACAAAAAUGUGUCAGUCGGUCCUGAUCUUCAACAGCCUGGUCACAGGAAUAGUUGCUGCCUCUCUGCACUGAAUCUUUCAGCAGGAAAGAACUCGGGACACUGGGAGAUGGGGCUGCAGCUUUACUAGCCCUUUAGGUAAUGAAUUAAAAUGAAGACACUCUGAGGAAGUGCAUGGAAAACACACUGUUCUCUUACAUGACCUCCUGCGCUGCACAGGGGCACAACCGUGGACACAGUUGCGCGGGCACAACUGGAUCUAACCCCAGUCGGCUUUGAACUCAGGCUGAAACUCAGGCAUAGCAAUCCAAGGAACAGUCAUGGGAAAUAGG
RNAcentral lists this long non-coding RNA (516 nucleotides) under Apteryx owenii (little spotted kiwi). RNAcentral's name for it is "lncRNA (ENSAOWG00000018454.1)". The record is from RNAcentral. Lineage: Eukaryota; Metazoa; Chordata; Aves; Apterygiformes; Apterygidae.